CUUUGAUGGCCAGACUUUUGGCACAAUGGUCACUACCCAUACCAUUAGACUGGGGGUUAUACUGGUUUCUGUAGAAAUUCUAAAAGAAUUUAAAAUGUGAUUUUAUCCUCCCCCUCUUGCAGAGACCUUUGUUCCUUCUCCAGACUGUAAAUACCCAAAAAAAAUGAAUCUUUACUCAUCUUUGUUUCCUUAUUUUUGAGCCAGAGUGAGUUAAUGAAUAUGGAAAAGCCUUUCAAAGAUGAUCCUGGAAAGCAAGGGGGAUUAUGCUCGAUCUACUUGUUUUAUUUGAUGUAUCCUGUGCUAACAGCCAAAGAAAGUCCUGAAAGCUGAAGAUAUUUUGAAGAAAAUGUACACUAAGAGGGAAGAGUUUCAAUGACGCCCUUCACCUCUUCUGUGCAAAUGCUUUGAUCUUAUUGAUCCUUAUACGGGGAAGUUUGUUUUGUAUGAUUUGAGCAAAAGACCUAUAGAACGCAGGUUCGUAAGGAAAGAUCAAGUUAUAAGGGAAGGUGAAUCAGUAUAUUUUGAUGGACAUUUAGUAGAAGAAGGAGAACCUGAAGGAAGUCAUCACUCUCCAGCGAAGUUAAAUGAACGAGGGACUGGCAAUAAUGUUGUUGAAAGGAGACAACUAGGACAUGGGCACAAUGGCUUUCACAAGGGCAAUCCAUCUUUGACUAAUUCAAAAAUUUCUUUUUCAAUCCGUAUAGUCUGUACUACUAUUUAGUUCUGUGCAUGUCAUUUGAAUUUAAAUUUAUUAUUAUCCCUUGCAUUUUAAUUGUAACCCCUUGGCCCUUGAUCUCAUUAUGAUCGUUAGAAUACCUUGUCCGUUGUAUA
This is a long non-coding RNA of Glycine soja, 831 nucleotides long. RefSeq lists it as uncharacterized. The record is from RefSeq and is a predicted model, not a curated record. NCBI's taxonomy places the organism in Eukaryota, Viridiplantae, Streptophyta, Magnoliopsida, Fabales, Fabaceae. The transcript is spliced from 2 exons.